GAUGUGAUAUUUGAGGGUUCGUCAAUAGGAUCUUUGUAGUUCUUUUUAUUAAUUUUCUUUAGUAAAUUUGAGCGUGUUUUUAUGGUGAGUGCUUAAGAUAUUUUUUUGGGACGUAUACUAUUCUCCUGAGGGAGCAUAGUUUAUUUCUCUUUCUAACACUUAGAUUUCAUCGUCUAAAAAUCGGAGGGUCUCUAUUCAAUCUCAAGACAUUUUUUUUUCAAGUACAUGGAAGGUACAAUUAUGAAUUUUUUUAGGAAAAAGUUUAUAAACAGUUGACACCUUAAAAUGUAGAAUUAAGAUACACCUCUAAUAUCUUUCUAAAAAGAUUGUUUUGAUGUUGGAAAAAUAUUUAAUUGAUCACCUCGUAUGAGAUGUAUAGAUAUUAGGAGAAAAAGAUAUUCAAGUCCUAAAAAUGGUACAUAUUGCAGCAUAUUAUUUGGACCGUCCAUUUUCAAGAUUUUU
RNAcentral lists this long non-coding RNA (462 nucleotides) under Amborella trichopoda. RNAcentral describes it as "long non-coding RNA (ATRI_LNC005211)". The record is from RNAcentral. Lineage: Eukaryota; Viridiplantae; Streptophyta; Magnoliopsida; Amborellales; Amborellaceae.